This is a non-coding RNA of 264 nucleotides. It matches the Rfam family "Bacterial large signal recognition particle RNA". Rfam says of the family: The signal recognition particle (SRP) is a universally conserved ribonucleoprotein involved in the co-translational targeting of proteins to membranes. The record is from Rfam.
UCGUGCUAGAUGGGGAGGUAGCGGUGCCCUGUACCUGCAAUCCGCUAUAGCAGGGUUGAAUUCCUAUAAUAGGCAUGUUUCUGUAAGGUCUGCCCUUUGCAAGUGGCAAUGAAAAUUGGGUCCUGCGCAACGGAAGUCUAUGAACCCCGUCAGGUUCGGAAGAAAGCAGCGGUAAGUAGUCCCUUUCGUGUGCCGUGGGUUUGCCUGAUUAGAGUUAACUGCAUUGGUUACGCUUGUAUAUGCAUGUCGAAAAUAGGUGCACGA